AAUAGCCCGAACAAAAUGCUCAGACACAUGAAAAUGAUUUCGACGCGACCCGUCCCGGAGAUACCGAUUGGAAUCAAAACGGCCAAGAUUGCCGACUGUUCAUGCGACAACAACUUCGGUGGAGGUCAGGCUGCCGGCAGCCGGAUGGAACCGUAUUUCAAGCAGCCUGAACUGCCCAACGACUGCAAGUUUCUGGAGCCGCUCAUCAAAGGCUACGAACGCGAUUGGAACUGCGGGCCAACCAUAGGACAGGACAUGGUUUCACGACGCCGCAUCUUGUCACGAUCCCGUGACGAUCUCCACUUGGACAACUUCCCUGAAGAGGAGGAUGACGUCUGGCACAUCAAGGAGAAACUCUACAAGGACCACAUCCAAGAAGUUUUGGACAAAUGGCAUCAAAUCGACGACGAGAUCUGGGCCAAGCUCAUCGUCAUGGAACGCAAUCGCCGCGUGGCCAAGGCGUAUGCUCGGGCUAUCCCAAUUCAAAUCAACGGAAGCGAUGACGGUUUCGACGGAUUCCGGAUUGGAUUGAAUGGAUUUGAUAAUCCGAUGCGUGACAACCGGACCGAGGAAGCCAAACGUCAGAUCGGCGAAGGAGCCAAGGUUCGCAUGGACGAGAAAGGCAACAUCCACAUCAAGCGCGUUUCCAAGAGCAACAUCUACAUUAAGAAUACGUCCGAUGAAAAUGGAAUCGGCAAUGAUAUCCUUAAGCUACCGCAAGGAGCCCUCGAAUUCGGCAAAGGCUAUCUGCUGUUUGACAUGAAGAAAUUCCAGCAGAAUGUGUCCCGCGAGCUGAAACGCGCCUACCCGGAUCGCCGCAAACUGGAGAUGCAAUGCAUUACGGCCAUUGCCUUCGCCAAGAACGAUAUGGAGCUGCUCAACUGUCCCUGCUGGGUCAUGAUUGUCAACAUCGUGGCUAUGGAUAUGCUCAAAUCAAAGAUGCCACCCGUCAGCAAGCGCUCAGAUAUUCGUAACCGUCCGCGCAUCCCGAUCCCUGAUGAAGAUCCUUACAGCGUGGCUGGCAGCGGAUCUAGCGGCAGCUCGUCGCACAAUGGCAACAUCAACAAUGGAAAUGGCUCCGCUCCGGCCAAUUCAAACGGCGUCGUUGGCACUAAACGUGGUGACAAACCACCAAAGCUGCCACCUCGCGAUAAUGGCAUCUAUGGCUCCAACAUUCCAAAACCUGAUUAUGAUGAGAUUGACGAGAAUGGAUACAAAGCGUUUGCUUCAACUCGUCCCAGCAAGGAGAAGCUGCUGUCGACCGACAAAAAAUACGACGAUCCUUACUAUUGCGGUCUACGCGCCCGCGUCUCUAACUUUGUCAAGAAUAAGAACACCAACGAGAAACCGGUCAAAGAGCUUGGAACUGAGAUUAAAAUGAAGAUGACGCCACACGUAGGCACGUAUCAAGCUGCCCUGUCUCACGGCCACCCCAUGCAGAGUCAUCAAAUGUGGCAUUCGCGAAGCUUCGACAGUGGAAUGGCCUCGCUGCCGAGCAGCGUCACACCCGAUAUUCAACGGUUAUGGAAAGCUUAUCCUUUCGAACGCAAUCCUACGUCGUGGGUACCUUCCCAUACCCAUGGAUACAGCCCAGACACGGCCACAACGAUCAAGACGUACAAGAAAGCUGUGGCAAACAUCCGCACCCUCAGCACGCCGUACAGCUAAAAAUUCCAUGUCACUGACGCCACCCUCCUCCUUUCCUUCUUUUUGCCCUCUUAUUUUUCCCUUAUUUUUUUUGUUUCAUUCCAUUCCUAUUUGUUCCUUGUAUUUCCUUACGUUCGCUACCUACAUAUCCAAAUGACGACAACAGACGACCGCGACCGAGAUGGCAACAUUUCCAACGACGCAGCAGAAUGGGAGUGUUAUUGGGAUGCAUGACCAGGUUGUUGGGCUACUUUCUCUCCGCUGUAUUUCUUUGUUAUUUGCUG
This 1931-nucleotide unclassified non-coding RNA is filed under the name Daphnia magna. RNAcentral describes it as "uncharacterized LOC116929374, transcript variant X11". Lineage: Eukaryota; Metazoa; Arthropoda; Branchiopoda; Diplostraca; Daphniidae. The record is from RNAcentral.